GACGAACGCUGGCGGCGUGCUUAACACAUGCAAGUCGAACGGAAAGGCCCUGCUUUUGUGGGGUGCUCGAGUGGCGAACGGGUGAGUAACACGUGAGUAACCUGCCCUUGACUUUGGGAUAGCUUCAGGAAACUGGGGCUAAUACCGGAUAGGAGCUCCUGCUGCAUGGUGGGGGUUGGAAAGUUUCGGCGGUUGGGGAUGGACUCGCGGCUUAUCAGCUUGUUGGUGGGGUAGUGGCUUACCAAGGCUUUGACGGGUAGCCGGCCUGAGAGGGUGACCGGCCACAUUGGGACUGAGAUACGGCCCAGACUCCUACGGGAGGCAGCAGUGGGGAAUAUUGCACAAUGGGCGGAAGCCUGAUGCAGCAACGCCGCGUGCGGGAUGACGGCCUUCGGGUUGUAAACCGCUUUCGCCUGUGACGAAGCGUGAGUGACGGUAAUGGGUAAAGAAGCACCGGCUAACUACGUGCCAGCAGCCGCGGUGAUACGUAGGGUGCGAGCGUUGUCCGGAUUUAUUGGGCGUAAAGGGCUCGUAGGUGGUUGAUCGCGUCGGAGGUGUAAUCUUGGGGCUUAACCCUGAGCGUGCUUUCGAUACGGGUUGACUUGAGGAAGGUAGGGGAGAAUGGAAUUCCUGGUGGAGCGGUGGAAUGCGCAGAUAUCAGGAGGAACACCAGUGGCGAAGGCGGUUCUCUGGGCCUUUCCUGACGCUGAGGAGCGAAAGCGUGGGGAGCGAACAGGCUUAGAUACCCUGGUAGUCCACGCUGUAAACGGUGGGUACUAGGUGUGGGGUCCAUUCCACGGGUUCCGUGCCGUAGCUAACGCUUUAAGUACCCCGCCUGGGGAGUACGGCCGCAAGGCUAAAACUCAAAGGAAUUGACGGGGCCCCGCACAAGCGGCGGAGCAUGCGGAUUAAUUCGAUGCAACGCGUAGAACCUUACCUGGGUUUGACAUGGAUCGGGAGUGCUCAGAGAUGGGUGUGCCUCUUUUGGGGUCGGUUCACAGGUGGUGCAUGGCUGUCGUCAGCUCGUGUCGUGAGAUGUUGGGUUAAGUCCCGCAACGAGCGCAACCCUUGUUCACUGUUGCCAGCACGUUAUGGUGGGGACUCAGUGGAGACCGCCGGGGUCAACUCGGAGGAAGGUGGGGAUGACGUCAAGUCAUCAUGCCCCUUAUGUCCAGGGCUUCACGCAUGCUACAAUGGCUGGUACAGAGAGUGGCGAGCCUGUGAGGGUGAGCGAAUCUCGGAAAGCCGGUCUCAGUUCGGAUUGGGGUCUGCAACUCGACCUCAUGAAGUCGGAGUCGCUAGUAAUCGCAGAUCAGCAACGCUGCGGUGAAUACGUUCCCGGGGCU
RNAcentral lists this ribosomal RNA (1346 nucleotides) under uncultured bacterium. RNAcentral describes it as "partial 16S ribosomal RNA". It matches the Rfam family "Bacterial small subunit ribosomal RNA", at positions 28 to 1381 of the family's 1533-position model. The record is from RNAcentral.